AGAGUUUGAUCCUGGCUCAGAUUGAACGCUGGCGGCAUGCCUUACACAUGCAAGUCGAACGGUAGCAGGCCUUAGGGCGCUGACGAGUGGCGAACGGGUGAGUAAGACAUCGGAACGUGCCCGAUCGAGGGGGAUAACGGAGCGAAAGCUCUGCUAAUACCGCACAAGAUCCGAGGAUGAAAGCAGGGGACCGAAAGGCCUUGCGCGGACGGAGCGGCCGAUGGCAGAUUAGGUAGUUGGUGGGAUAAAAGCCUACCAAGCCGACGAUCUGUAGCUGGUCUGAGAGGACGACCAGCCACACUGGGACUGAGACACGGCCCAGACUCCUACGGGAGGCAGCAGUGGGGAAUUUUGGACAAUGGGCGCAAGCCUGAUCCAGCCAUGCCGCGUGCAGGAUGAAGGCCCUCGGGUUGUAAACUGCUUUUGUACGGAACGAAAAGGCCCUGGUGAACAACCGGGGUUGCUGACGGUACCGUAAGAAUAAGCACCGGCUAACUACGUGCCAGCAGCCGCGGUAAUACGUAGGGUGCGAGCGUUAAUCGGAAUUACUGGGCGUAAAGCGUGCGCAGGCGGACAUGCAAGACAGAUGUGAAAUCCCCGGGCUCAACCUGGGAACUGCAUAUGUGACUGCAUGACUGGAGUACGGCAGAGGGGGAUGGAAUUCCGCGUGUAGCAGUGAAAUGCGUAGAUAUGCGGAGGA
RNAcentral lists this ribosomal RNA (700 nucleotides) under uncultured bacterium. RNAcentral describes it as "bacterial SSU rRNA". It matches the Rfam family "Bacterial small subunit ribosomal RNA", at positions 8 to 705 of the family's 1533-position model. The record is from RNAcentral.